Molecule: ribosomal RNA, 1954 nt
Filed under: human gut metagenome
Description: bacterial LSU rRNA
Rfam family: Bacterial large subunit ribosomal RNA
Source: RNAcentral
UUAAGUAAGGAAGGGCGUACGGCGAAUGCCUGGCCACUCGAAACUGAAGAAGGACGCGCCAAACUGCGAAAAGCUCCGUGAAGCUGUAAGGAAGCGAAGAAGCGGAGGUGUCCGAAUGGGGGAACCCGGCAGCAGACAUGAGCUGUCAUCUGCAGGUGAAUACAUGGCCUGCAAGAGAGGUACCCGGCGAACUGAAACAUCUAAGUAGCCGGAGGAAAAGAAAACAACAGUGAUUCCCUGAGUAGCGGCGAGCGAAAGGGGAGAAGCCCAAACCGGUCCGAGGACCGGGGUUGAAGGACCAUGAAGUGGCAAGAGCGAGGAUAGGAGAACGGGAUCGAAAGCCCGGCCGAAGAAGGUGCAAGCCCUGUAACCGAAAUCCGAGUAAAGCCUAAUGGGAUCCUGAGUACGGCGAGACACGAGGAAUCUUGUCGGAAGCAGGCGGGACCAUCCGCCAAGGCUAAAUAUAAACGAGUGAGCGAUAGUGAACCAGUACCGUGAGGGAAAGGUGAAAAGAACCGCGGGAGCGGAGUGAAAGAGAACCUGAAACCGUAUGCCUACAAGAAGUCAGAGCCCGUUAAGGGGUGAUGGCGUGCCUUUUGUAGAAUGAACCGGCGAGUUGCGACAGACUGCGAGGUUAAGGAGGAAAGACCGGAGCCGAAGCGAAAGCGAGUCUUAAGAGGGCGAAAGUAGGAUGUUGCAGACCCGAAACCGGGUGAUCUAGCCAUGAGCAGGUUGAAGUUGAGGUGAAACUCAAUGGAGGACCGAACCGACUACCGUUGAAAAGUUAGCGGAUGACUUGUGGCUAGGGGAGAAAUUCCAAUCGAACCCGGAGAUAGCUGGUUCUCCCCGAAAUAGCUUUAGGGCUAGCGUCGGAAAGAACCUUAGUGAAGGUAGAGCACUGAAUGUGUGAUGGCCCCAUCCCGGGGUACUGAAUACAAUCAAACUGCGAAUGUCAUUAAGGAUGUCCGGCAGUCAGACUGUGAGUGAUAAGGUCCAUGGUCAAGAGGGAAACAGCCCAGACCGCCAGUUAAGGUCCCAAAAUACAGGCUAAGUGGAAAAGGAUGUGGGGAUGCCCAGACAACUAGGAGGUUGGCUCAGAAGCAGCCAUCCUUUAAAGAGUGCGUAACAGCUCACUAGUCGAGUGACCCUGCGCCGAAAAUGUACCGGGGCUAAGCCUGAUACCGAAACUGCGGAUUGUAGGAAACUAUAGUGGUAGGGGAGCGUUGUAUACGAGUAGAAGCCGUACCGUGAGGAGCGGUGGAUUGUAUAGAAGUGAGAAUGCCGGUGUGAGUAGCGAGAUGUAGGUGAGAAUCCUACACACCGAAAGCCCAAGGAUUCCAGGGGAAGGUUCGUCCGCCCUGGGUAAGUCGGGACCUAACGCGAGGCCGAAAGGCGUAGUGGAUGGAAAGCAGGCGAAAGAUUCCUGCACCCGUAUAUGGAGCGAAGGAGUGACGGAGACGGAUAGUGUGACCCUCUUAAUGGAUUGAGGGCGAAGCGAAGCGGCUGGUUACCAGGCAAAUCCGGUAACUGUAAGGCUAGAGCGUGACAGGUAAGCGAAAUCUAAGGAAAGUAGCGAAGCACAUGAUGACGGCUUCCAGGAAAAGCUUCUGGCAAUGCAUAUGCGGCCCGUACCAAAACCGACACAGGUGGGCAGGGAGAGAAUCCCGAGGUGAGCGAGAGAACUGUUGCCAAGGAACUCGGCAAAAUGACUCCGUAAGUUAGCGAGAAGGAGUGCUUAAGCAAUUAAGCCGCAGUGAAGAGGCCCAAGCGACUGUUUAACUAAAACACAGCUCUCUGCGAAGUCGCAAGACGAAGUAUAGGGGGUGACACCUGCCCGGUGCUGGAAGGUUAAGAGGAUCUGUUAAGAGCGAUCUGAAGCAGUGAUCCGAAGCCCCAGUGAACGGCGGCCGUAACUAUAACGGUCCUAAGGUAGCGAAAUUCCUUGUCAGGUAAG